AGUGAGCGCUGGCGGCAGGCCUAACACAUGCAAGUCGAACGGCAGCACAGUAAUUGCUUGCUCUUACGGGUGGCGAGUGGCGGACGGGUGAGGAAUACAUCGUAAUCUACUUUUUCGUGUGGUUUAACGUAGGUAAAGUUACUCUAUUACCGCAUACGACCUACGGGUGAAUGCAGUGGAUCGUCGGACCUUGCGCGAUUGAAGUCGCCGAUGUCGGAUUAGCUUGUUGGCGGGUUAAUGGCCCACCAAGGCGACGAUCCGUAGCUGGUCUGAGAGGAUGAUCGGCGACACUGGAAGUGAGACACGGUCAAGACUCCUACGGGAGGGAGCAGUGGGGAAUGUGGGACAAUGGGCGCAAGCCUGAUCCAGCGAUAGCGAGUGGGUGAAGAAGACGUUGGGGUUGUAAAGCCCUUUUGUUGGGAAAGAAAAGCAGCAGGUUAAGACCCAGCUGUUGUGACGGUACCGAAAGAAUAAGCACCGGCUAACUACGUG
This 492-nucleotide ribosomal RNA is filed under the name uncultured bacterium. RNAcentral's name for it is "partial 16S ribosomal RNA". It matches the Rfam family "Bacterial small subunit ribosomal RNA", at positions 29 to 507 of the family's 1533-position model. The record is from RNAcentral.